GAUGAACGCUAGCGGCAGGCCUAACACAUGCAAGUCGAGGGGGAAGUUACUUUCGGGUGACUGAGACCGGCGUACGGGUGCGUAACGCGUAUACAAUCUGCCUUUCACUGGGGGAUAGCCCGAAGAAAUUUGGAUUAAUACCCCAUAGUAUAUAGGGACGGCAUCGUUUUUAUAUUAAAGCUUAGGUGGUGAAAGAUGAGUAUGCGUUCUAUUAGCUAGUUGGAGAGGUAACGGCUCCCCAAGGCGAUGAUAGAUAGGGGUUCUGAGAGGGAUGUCCCCCACACUGGUACUGAGAUACGGACCAGACUCCUACGGGAGGCAGCAGUGAGGAAUAUUGGACAAUGGUCGGAAGACUGAUCCAGCCAGGCCGCGUGCAGGAUGAAGGUCUUAUGGAUUGUAAACUGCUUUUGUAAGGGAAGAAUAAGGGCUACGCGUAGUUUGAUGACGGUACCUUACGAAUAAGCAUCGGCUAACUCCGUG
RNAcentral lists this ribosomal RNA (480 nucleotides) under uncultured bacterium. RNAcentral's name for it is "partial 16S ribosomal RNA". It matches the Rfam family "Bacterial small subunit ribosomal RNA", at positions 28 to 507 of the family's 1533-position model. The record is from RNAcentral.